RNAcentral lists this ribosomal RNA (447 nucleotides) under uncultured bacterium. RNAcentral describes it as "partial 16S ribosomal RNA". It matches the Rfam family "Bacterial small subunit ribosomal RNA", at positions 29 to 523 of the family's 1533-position model. The record is from RNAcentral.
AGCGAACGCUGGCGGCAGGCUUAACACAUGCAAGUCGAACGCCCCGCAAGGGGAGUGGCAGACGGGUGAGUAACACGUGGGAACGUACACUUUGGUUCGGAAUAACUUGGGGAAACUCAAGCUAAUACCGGAUAAGGCCUUAUGGGGAAAGGUUUACUGCCGAAGGAUCGGCCCGCGUCUGAUUAGCUAGUUGGUGAGGUAAUGGCUCACCAAGGCGACGAUCAGUAGCUGGUCUGAGAGGAUGAUCAGCCACACUGGGACUGAGACACGGCCCAGACUCCUACGGGAGGCAGCAGUGGGUAAUAUUGGACAAUGGGGGCAACCCUGAUCCAGCCAUGCCGCGUGAGUGAUGAAGGCCUUAGGGUUGUAAAGCUCUUUUACCCGGUACGAUAAUGACUGUACCGGGAGAAUAAGCCCCGGCUAACUUCGUGCCAGCAGCCGCCGUAA